RNAcentral lists this ribosomal RNA (254 nucleotides) under uncultured bacterium. RNAcentral's name for it is "partial 16S ribosomal RNA". It matches the Rfam family "Bacterial small subunit ribosomal RNA", at positions 524 to 776 of the family's 1533-position model. The record is from RNAcentral.
UACGGAGGGAGCUAGCGUUAUUCGGAAUUACUGGGCGUAAAGCGCACGUAGGCGGCUUUGUAAGUUAGAGGUGAAAGCCUGGUGCUCAACACCAGAACUGCCUUCGAUACUGGGAGUCUUCGAGUCCGGGAGAGGUGAGUGGAACUGCGAGUGUAGAGGUGAAAUUCGUAGAUAUUCGCAAGAACACCAGUGGCGAAGGCGGCUCACUGGCCCGGUACUGACGCUGAGGUGCGAAAGCGUGGGGAGCAAACAGG